This 1090-nucleotide long non-coding RNA is filed under the name Callithrix jacchus (white-tufted-ear marmoset). RNAcentral's name for it is "lncRNA (ENSCJAG00000074540.1)". The record is from RNAcentral. Lineage: Eukaryota; Metazoa; Chordata; Mammalia; Primates; Cebidae.
UACAAAAAUUAGCUGGGCAUUUUGGUGGUCGCCUGUAAUCCCAGCUACUGGGGAGGCUGAGGCAGGAGAAUCGCUUGAAACCGGAAGACGGAGGUGUUGAUGAGCUCAGAUUGCACCACUGCGCUCCAGCCUGGGCAACAAGAGGAAAACUGUGUCUCAAAAAAAAAAUUACCCCUAAGUCAAAAACAUCUUCACUUAUGCUUUCUCCUCAAAGUCUCCAAGUGCAAUUGUUGAUAAGGACUUUUGGUAAAAAGUUGGGUACAGAUCCAAUUUCAUUUUUCCCUGUCUAUAACUAUGUUUUCCCCUUCCAUUUAUUGAAGAAUUGUAGAAUUCCCCACCAGGGAGAUGGAGGCCAGAGACAUUCAGCAACUUGUACAAGAUCACACAGCUAAUAAUCGUCAAAUGGUAAAAGCUCGUGGCACCUCCCCACUCUCUCUCUUGCUCCUGCUCCAGAAUCUGCCAUAGUUUUAAUCUCUUUUGCUUCUAUCAUGUAAAUUAAGUGCAAAAAUCUCUGGCAGACUUUCAGUUCGAUUCUACUCAUCACUUUCUCCAUUCCUGCAUCAACUCCACGCUGUUUUAAUUUUUAGGGCCUUUUCAUACAUCUUGAUAUCUGGUUGAGCAACUAAUAUGGUUCGAUCUGUUUCCCUACCCAAAUCUCACGCUGAAAUGCAAUCCCCAAUGCUGGAGGUGGGGCCUGGGGGGAGGUGAUUAGAUCACUGCCUCAGUUUCUCACGGUUUAACACCAUCCCCCCUUGAUACCGUGUUGGCGAUAGUGAGUUCUCAUGAAAGCUGGUUGUUUAAAAGCUCAUGGCACCUCCCCACUCUCUCUCUUGCUCCUGCCCCUGCCAUGUAAGACAUGUCUGCCUCCCCUUCACUUUCCAACAUGAUUGGAAGCUUCCAGAGGCCUUCCCAGAAGCAGAUGCCGCCACGCUUCCUGCACAGCCUGCAAAACUACAAAGGUUUUGCUCUCACCGGGGCUGGAGUACACUGGCACAAUCAUAGCUCCCUGCAGCCGGGAAUUCCUGGGCUCAAGCGAGCCUCCACCGCCUAAGUAGCUGGGACAACAGAUGCGAGCCACCAUGCCUGGCCA